AGAAUCAACGCUGGCGGCGUGCCUAACACAUGCAAGUCGAACGCGAAAGGGACUUCGGUCCUGAGUAGAGUGGCGAACGGGUGAGUAACGCGUGGGUGACCUACCCUCGAGUGGGGGAUAACGUUCCGAAAGGGACGCUAAUACCGCAUGACAUUCCGGGUUUGAAGACCUGGAAAUCAAAGCCGGGGACCGCAAGGCCUGGCGCUAGAGGAGGGGCCCGCGUCUGAUUAGCUAGUUGGCGGGUAACGCCCACCAAGGCGACGAUCAGUAGCCGGCCUGAGAGGGCGGACGGCCACGACUGGGACUGAGACACGGCCCAGACUCCUACGGGAGGCAGCAGUGGGGAAUUAUCGCAAUGGGCGCAAGCCUGACGACGCAACGCCGCGUGGAGGAUGAAGGUCUUCGGAUUGUAAACUCCUGUUGAUCGGACGAAAAGAUUACAACCUAAUACGUUGGAGACUGACGGUACCGGUUAGAGGAAGCCACGGCUAAACGUCUGUAGCCAGCAGCCGA
This 513-nucleotide ribosomal RNA is filed under the name uncultured soil bacterium. RNAcentral describes it as "bacterial SSU rRNA". It matches the Rfam family "Bacterial small subunit ribosomal RNA", at positions 26 to 518 of the family's 1533-position model. The record is from RNAcentral.